Molecule: ribosomal RNA, 465 nt
Filed under: uncultured bacterium
Lineage: Bacteria
Description: partial 16S ribosomal RNA
Rfam family: Bacterial small subunit ribosomal RNA
Source: RNAcentral
CCUACGGGGGGCAGCAGUGGGGAAUAUUGCGCAAUGGGCGAAAGCCUGACGCAGCGACGCCGCGUGAGGGAUGAAGGUCUUCGGAUCGUAAACCUCUGUCAGCAGGGAAGAACGGUCACUGUGCUAAUCAGCAGUGAAUUGACGGUACCUGCAUAGGAAGCACCGGCUAACUCCGUGCCAGCAGCCGCGGUACUACGGAGGGUGCGAGCGUUAAUCGGAAUUACUGGGCGUAAAGCGCUCGUAGGCGGUAUGUCAAGUCACGGGUGAAAUCCCCGCGCUCAACGUGGGAACUGCCUUUGAAACUGGCAAACUGGAGUGUGUGAGAGGAUAGUGGAAUUCCAGGUGUAGGAGUGAAAUGCGUAGAUAUCUGGAGGAACAUCAGUGGCGAAGGCGACUAUCUGGCACAUAACUGACGCUGAGGAGCGAAAGCGUGGGUAGCAAACAGGAUUAGAUACCCUUGUAGUC